UACGUAGGGGGCGAGCGUUGUCCGGAAUUAUUGGGCGUAAAGAGCGCGUAGGCGGUCCGAUAAGUCGGCUGUGAAAGUCAGGGGCUCAACCCUUGAAAGCCGGCCGAUACUGCCGGGCUAGAGUCCGGAAGAGGCGAGUGGAACUCCUGGUGUAGCGGUGGAAUGCGCAGAUAUCAGGAAGAACACCGACGGCGAAGGCAGCUCGCUGGGACGGUACUGACGCUGAGGCGCGAAAGCGUGGGGAGCGAACAGG
Molecule: ribosomal RNA, 253 nt
Filed under: uncultured bacterium
Lineage: Bacteria
Description: partial 16S ribosomal RNA
Rfam family: Bacterial small subunit ribosomal RNA
Source: RNAcentral